GAUGAAGAACGUAGCGAAAUGCGAUACGUAAUGUGAAUUGCAGAAUUCAGUGAAUCAUCGAAUCUUUGAACGCAUAUUGCGCUCUCUGGUAUUCCGGAGAGCAUGCUUGUUUGAGUAUCAGUAAACACCUCAACUUCCAUAUCUUUUUUGAAAUGGGAGUUGGACUUGAGUGAUCCCAACGCUUUUCCUCACCGAAAAGUGGCGGGUUACUUGAAAUGCAGGUGCAGCUGGACUUUUCUCUGAGCUAUAAGCAUAUCUAUUUAGUCUGCCUAAAAAACAGAUUAUUACCUUUGCUGCAGCUAACAUGAAGGAGAUUAGUUCUUGUGCUGACUGAUGCAGGAUUCACAAAGACAGGCUUCGGCCGACUUUGUAAACUCGAUCUCAAAUCAAGUAAGACUACCCGCUGAACUUAAGCAUAUCAAUAAGCGGAGGA
This 433-nucleotide unclassified non-coding RNA is filed under the name soil metagenome. RNAcentral describes it as "partial contains 5.8S ribosomal RNA, internal transcribed spacer 2, and large subunit ribosomal RNA". The stretch from base 1 to 120 matches the Rfam family "5.8S ribosomal RNA", at positions 35 to 154 of the family's 154-position model. The record is from RNAcentral.